Bombus terrestris (buff-tailed bumblebee) is the source of this 3935-nucleotide long non-coding RNA. RefSeq lists it as uncharacterized. Lineage: Eukaryota; Metazoa; Arthropoda; Insecta; Hymenoptera; Apidae. The transcript has 2 exons. The record is from RefSeq and is a predicted model, not a curated record.
UCAAGUUCGAAUUUUUAUUACAUUCCCUUCUUAUGAUUAUUAUUUCCUUCUUAUGAUCCUCGCAGAAAAAACUUAUCGUUUCAUUGAUGCGACUUGAAGUGAAAGCUCGUCCCGACGAAGGCUGCAGUUGAUUGUGACCGUGAAUAUUUCGUGCCUGGAAUUAGCAAAGAGAUGAGUAAAGAGGAUAUGAAACGAGCAAUGAGUAAGAGGAAUUAACGAAUUGUGGGACACACCGUGUCACUACGAUUCAAUGGAAAAACAAAGCGAGUGUGGCCAGUUAAUGAUAAUAAAAAUGAAAGAAUAAAGUGGGCCGUGACACAGAAUUUUCAACCGCGAAUGCGACCAACGUUUCGCAGAUGAUGUAAAACUGCGUCGGCAUAAAAGAACGACAAGGACGUUGAUUAUAUUAUUUUCAAGCCUACGGACAUUACUAUUGAGCAUAUCUCUUCACGGUUAAUUAGCGUAGUCAAUUUGCGGUGUUGUUCAACGAUCGAGAUAUACGUAUUAACAUAUCAUAUCUGGUAAUUUUCCAGAAAGUUCCUAUUACUUGGUAUACCAGUAUAAAGUGCUAUAAGUUCGUCACGUAUCCACUAUAUAAAAAAUCAUCAAGUUAACUACACGCAUAUCGAUAUUCUCGAGACGUUAAUUUACAACUUCCAGAGAGACGAUAAAAACGUUGGAAAAGGUUGCAUCACAAAGUGACUCAUAGUGAUUCACUUUAUAUAUUUCUGUAAUGACUGGUACCAGUCGAUAUAUGAUAACAUCGAUUUUACGUACCUCGGCGAGUUAUAACUUUCGCACGAAGGAACACAGUAUACGAAGAAAGAAAAUUGAUGUAACUGUGGAUACCACGGAUGCAAAAGGGUCACGAGAUCGUGACGUUUUGGUGAAAGGUUCAUGCGUUAAAUUCACGGACGCAUCGAUUAAGAUCUAAGUACCACGGCCACAGAUCUCGAGAGAGAGACCUACGAAAGUUUUGUGGUUUGCAUCUUUCGAAGGUUACAGAGAUGCAAUAUUUACUCUAAGAUGAAGACAGACGUUGUGAAACACGUCGGAAGGAAAAUAACACGACGAUUCUUAGCGCGUCUCCACUUGUUAUUUAGAUUCCUCGGAUGUCUUGGAGAAGAAUUAUCGUUUCGCAAUGUGCUAAUCAUUGACACAAGCAGGAAAACGGAAAAAUUUCGAUCUGAAAAAAGGUAUGAAUUUCUCACUGUAUUCUAAAUAUUCAUAACGACAAUCCUAUUCAUCGAAGGAACCGUUAACUGCUAAGUAAACAGCGAACGUGCCAUUAUAAUGGCUAUCUAAUAAACAGGAACUCGAUUAUACGUAAUACUUAGGAAGGGAUGAGCGUUAAUUAAAAUAACAUUCUUGCACGUCCGUUAAAUGCUUCUAAGCGCUGAAAAUGGCGCAGUAGCCGCUGGUCAACUGCAGGUAAAUGAUAUCAGCAAUAUUAAUAAGUUACCAAUUAGCAUAAAUCUGUAAUUCUGACCCUCUUCUUGGUCUAGUUGUCUGCAUGUCAAUGUAACGUCCGGUUACCUGAGACACAUUUGAUUCUUCCCAAUCAUUAUUUCUCCCUUUGAUUAACGUUUCAAUAUUGCAAUUUGAAAUGAGUAUCACGUAAGACUGCGUUCGGUUAUACCUGUAAUAUUUGCAAAUAUUUGUACAUUAGAAUACUUAGUGGAGUGAGAAUAAUGUUAUCGCUAAGACACUAAUAAGCAAGUCGAGCUAUGCAAAUUCGAAACGUAAAACAGAAAGCGAACGUAACAAGCAAAUAAUACAUACUUUGGAAAUUGUUCUUAGUCUUUGAUAUUUAAACUAGUACUUUGAAGAAAUUUUCAAGGGUCAAAGUAAAAAUAGUCUUCUGCGAUAUUCGUCAAAGCGGCUAUGUACUAUUAGUCUCGUUUCGAGCUGGGAUCAAUGGACGAUGAAACGAAAAAAAUUACUGAUCACUGGGCAUGUCGACGUCGUUGAAAUAACGAGCACGCCAAUAAUAUCUAGUUCGCUGGUGGCUCGUGAAAGAUUAUUUCGUUUACCUUGGAUAGUUGCCUAGAAAAUAAACUGUAUAGUGAAUCGUAUCAAAAUAUGUUGGAAUGUAAUGCAAAUAAGAUCAUGAUAUAUUUCGCAGUAAUAAUCCAAGAUGACCUAUUCCAACGAUGUUUACCUGAAUCAGAUAUGCUAUACGGAAGAUUUGGGAUAUUAAAAAUAUUUAGAAGCGUUUUAUGUCAAACAGAGUCUUAGAGUAAUAUAAUUCUGUGAUUGUGAAACUUUCCUUGAAACAUGUCGAGCAUCUCAAGUCUCUAUAACGGAUGGAAACAAUGAAUAAGAAUAAUCCUACGGACGUCUGGAAGUAUCUGGAUGGCCAUGAUGUUAAAAUGGCCAACACCUAUUACAGAUAUACUACCAGUGCACACGCACUUUAUUACUGUUAUAACAUUACGUUAUACACAUUACAUGAUCAUUCGUCGACAGUUAUGCCUCGCUCGUCAUCGUUCUCUAGUGCUCAAUAAAACUCUUCUCCAUGGAUUAUUGUUACAGGUGACCUUCGAAAUUCUUCUCAUAUAUAUUUGCUCUCUUACGGAUCAGAGUCUUCCUUUCUCGAAGUUACAGGAAUCUAAUUCCUUCGCAACUUUAAUUGUAAAAAUAAUUCUAGCUCGAUGUAACGUUUAACCGAUCGUUUCUCUUUCCCCGAUCAUUCUCCGCUUCGUCAUACUUGUAACAUAAAACAUAAGUUGGAAAGAUAUUGGCUUCGUGAUAGACGAUUCUUGUCGCGAGUUGCACACGUGUUCACGAAUUCUAUGUUCUUGAUGAAUUCUUAUAAAUACUUGAACGAUUGCCAAACUAUUAUUCUACUCCUUUCACGCGCCGUUUCACCUUCAAAAAUACGAUACGCAUCAUCCAUUCAUGGACUCGUAAAAUCGCCCAUCAAACACCGGUAACCGAUGGUAACUAUUUUUAACAAUUUCAUCAAGCCACCAAUGAUUGAAUAUUUUUUUUUAGCUCUAAUCAUGAUGCCUGCUCAAGCGUAUUAGAGAAAAUGUAAUUAGUAUGUAGUAACCAUACAUUAGUAGUAGUAACCAUACAUUGUGUUUUCCAUUGAAUACAUCAUUGAGUAGAAAAUUUUGGAUUUGUGUGGAAUAUUAGGAAGUAGAUUAAACUCAAUCAAUUUGAAAUAAUUAACUUGAUGGAUUCUGUUUCCUAAGGAACUGCGGAGGAAUUUGACGAUAAAGUGUCUUACACCGUAGGAUAGUUAUUGAUCGUAAUCGUUAUCCAAUGCAUUCACUAAUAUAUUCCAUUUGAUCAAGAUCAAUAGAUCAUGCACCAAGGAAAUUAAUCUGCAUGCAAUUACUUGGGCAACACUAUCGAUGAAAUAUUAACACUAUGACCAAUAUUUCCGAUUGACGUCUGGUUUGAGAUAGAUAACACUGAUCGUAAAGUACACUGUAACAGAAGCAUAAAUUUCUUUUAUUAUUGUUCUUCAUUUACUUACGAUGAAUUGUAAAUUCUAUCCAACUCUUUUUUUUUUAUCACGUUCCCCUUUGACAAAAUGACCUACCUUUACUAAGAAAAAAAAACAAGUCCAACGGGAUUGCGAGCAACGCAGUUGUACAAGGGUGCGAUUCGAAGAAAUAACCGUUGAAUCGAUUUUUUGGGAUCAUCCUGGGCAAGAUAAAGCAGAGCAUAACAGCCUUUUCUAAGCUCACCCUUUUCAGCGUUUCCUUUUCAAGCGGAUCCGGCCUUACAACUCUGAGCCGAGUACCAUUUUAUUCUCAACCGUCUUUCGUUUAGCGUAACAAUGAACGUACGCGGUAACUAUCGUAGGAUACUAAGAAGAGUAUUGACUUAAUUACCAGCUGGAAAUUGAUUGAAAAUCACCGGCCAAUAAAUUGUGAAUGAAUAAAUAAAGAAGAAAAUAAUAAAUUAUAUUUUCAACAAGA